RNAcentral lists this long non-coding RNA (245 nucleotides) under Elaeis guineensis (African oil palm). RNAcentral describes it as "long non-coding RNA (EGUI_LNC016165)". Lineage: Eukaryota; Viridiplantae; Streptophyta; Magnoliopsida; Arecales; Arecaceae. The record is from RNAcentral.
UCGUUCUACUCAAUUUAUAUCGUUUUCUUCAUUCAUAUAUACAUAGGUCGAUAUUUUCACUACUAUACAUAUAAUAACCAUCCAUCUACAAUGAUUGUGUGCAUUAUGCAUGUGCAUAAUUAAGUCCCAUUACUGUAUGUCAUAAAUAGAUCUUGAAACUAAAUUUUUUAUUCUCUCUGUUUUUAAAUUGUGCUCAAAACCCAGCUAACUUAAAUAUUGAAAGAUCUUUCAUCGAACAAGCUCUG